ACUGUUUUGAAACACUAAUAUUUGUGUUCAGCAAAGUCUCCCGAGUAAAACAGUACAUAUACACACGCUUAGAUCAUGUAUCAGUGUUUGCAGAUGACACAAAACUUUGUAAAUUAAUAAAAUGUGAGCAGGAUAUUGCCUUGCUGCAGAGGGAUUUGGAUAGAUUGGGGGACUGGGCACUAAAAUUUAACAUAGAUAAAUGCAAAGUUAUGCACUUCGGGGUUAAGAAUGCACAAGCAAUUUACACCCUAAAUGGUAGUGAACUAGGGAUAACCACACACACGAGAAGGAUUUGGGAAUUGUUAUAGACAACAAAUUAGGCAGCAAUAUGGGCAUAAAUUAGAGAUGAAAAUAUAAUUUUGCCUCUUUAUAAAAUCGCUGGCAAUACCACAUCUAGAAUAUGCUGUGCAAUUUUGGGCACCUGUUCUAAAGAAAGAUAUCAUGGCACUAGAAAAAGUGCAGAGACGAGCUACAAAAUUGAUAAAAGGAAUGGAGUAUUUUAGUUAUUAAGAAAGGUUAAAAAAUGUAAAUCUCUUUAGUUUGGAAAAACUGCGCCUCAGAGGGGAUAUGAUAACAUUAUACAAAUAUAUUCGGGGCCAGUAUAAAUCUUUAUCUGGAAAUCUAUUUUUAGACAGUCAUUACAGGCACUCCCCCUGCUGGCAAUGCCUUGCGAUCACAUGGCCCAAGGGGGCCAAAGAGGGACUCCCAGGUAAGUACAUAAUAUCGCAGGGAGUUCUAUGCCGCCCUGCGGCGUUUAGAGCCACUUCCUUAAGGACGGCAUAGAACGCCCUGUGGU
Non-coding RNA from Pelobates cultripes (western spadefoot toad), 796 nucleotides. The record is from the annotation of a GenBank genome assembly. Lineage: Eukaryota; Metazoa; Chordata; Amphibia; Anura; Pelobatidae.